This 655-nucleotide ribosomal RNA is filed under the name uncultured Glomus. RNAcentral describes it as "SSU rRNA". It matches the Rfam family "Eukaryotic small subunit ribosomal RNA", at positions 357 to 1016 of the family's 1831-position model. Lineage: Eukaryota; Fungi; Glomeromycota; Glomeromycetes; Glomerales; Glomeraceae. The record is from RNAcentral.
GGGUAACGGAGUGUUAGGGCACGACACCGGAGAGGGAGCCUGAGAAACGGCUACCACAUCCAAGGAUGGCAGCAGGCGCGCAAAUUACCCAAUCCCGACACGGGGAGGUAGUGACAAUAAAUAACAAUACGGGGUUCUUUCGGAUCUCGUAAUUGGAAUGAGUACAAUUUAAAUCUCUUAACGAGGGACAAUUGGAGGGCAAGUCUGGUGCCAGCAGCCGCGGUAAUUCCAGCUCCAAUAGCGUAUAUUAAAGUUGUUGCAGUUAAAAAGCUCGUAGUUGAAUUUCGGGGUUAGUAGGUUGGUCAUGCCUCUGGUAUGUACUGGUCUCACUGAUUCCUCCUUCCUGAUGAACCGUAAUGCCAUUAAUUUGGUGUUGCGGGGAAUUUGGACUGUUACCUUGAAAAAAUUAGAGUGUUUAAAGCAAGCUAACGCUUGAAUGCAUUAGCAUGGAAUAAUGAAAUAGGACGUUCGAUCCUAUUUUGUUGGUUUCUAGGAUUGACGUAAUGAUUAAUAGGGAUAGUUGGGGGCAUUAGUAUUCAAUUGUCAGAGGUGAAAUUCUUGGAUUUAUUGAAGACUAACCACUGCGAAAGCAUUUGCCAAGGAUGUUUUCAUUAAUCAAGAACGAAAGUUAGGGGAUCGAAGACGAUCAGAUACC